This 85-nucleotide transfer RNA is filed under the name Sandaracinus amylolyticus. It matches the Rfam family "tRNA". From Rfam's summary of the family: Transfer RNA (tRNA) molecules are approximately 80 nucleotides in length. Their secondary structure includes four short double-helical elements and three loops (D, anti-codon, and T loops). Further hydrogen bonds mediate the characteristic L-shaped molecular structure. tRNAs have two regions of fundamental functional importance: the anti-codon, which is responsible for specific mRNA codon recognition, and the 3' end, to which the tRNAs corresponding amino acid is attached (by aminoacyl-tRNA synthetases). tRNAs cope with the degeneracy of the genetic code in two manners: having more than one tRNA (with a specific anti-codon) for a particular amino acid; and 'wobble' base-pairing, i.e. permitting non-standard base-pairing at the 3rd anti-codon position. Lineage: Bacteria; Pseudomonadati; Myxococcota; Polyangiales; Sandaracinaceae. The record is from Rfam by way of RNAcentral.
GCCGGGAUGGCGGAACGGCAGACGCAGGGGAUUUAAAAUCCCACGCCUCGGAAGAGGCAUGAGGGUUCGAGUCCCUCUCCCGGCA